GAUGAACGCUGGCGGCGUGCUUAACACAUGCAAGUCGAACGAAGAAUUUAAGACAGAUUCCUUCGGAUUGAAGUCUUUUAUGACUGAGUGGCGGACGGGUGAGUAACGCGUGGGUAAGGUGCAACAUACAGGGGGAUAGGAUCUGGAAAGGGCAGAUAAUGAAGCAUAAGCGCAAAGUACCAAAUGGUACUGUGUGGAAAACUCCGGUGGUAUGAGAUGGACACGUGUCUGAUUAGCUUGUAGGCGGGGUAACGGCCCACCAAGGCGAUGAUCAGUACCCGAGCUGCGAGGGUGACCGGCCACAGUGUGACUGAGACACCGCUCAGACUCCUACGGGAGGGAGCAGUGGGGAAUAUGGCACAAUGGAGGAAAGUCAGAUGCAGCUACGCCGCGUAAAUGAAGAAGUAGUUGGCAAUGCAAAGCUCUAUCAGCAGGUAAGAUAGUGAAGGUACCUGAAGAAGAAACCCCGGCUAAAUACGUG
Molecule: ribosomal RNA, 481 nt
Filed under: uncultured bacterium
Lineage: Bacteria
Description: partial 16S ribosomal RNA
Rfam family: Bacterial small subunit ribosomal RNA
Source: RNAcentral